AACGAACGCUGGCGGCAUGCCUAACACAUGCGAGUCGAACGAGACCUUCGGGUCUAGUGGCGCACGGGUGCGUAACGCGUGGGAACCUGCCCUUAGGUUCGGAAUAACUCCCCGAAAGGGGUGCUAAUACCGGAUAAUGUCUUCGGACCAAAGAUUUAUCGCCUUUGGAUGGGCCCGCGUUGGAUUAGCUAGUUGGUAGGGUAAAAGCCUACCAAGGCGACGAUCCAUAGCUGGUCUGAGAGGAUGAUCAGCCACACUGGGACUGAGACACGGCCCAGACUCCUACGGGAGGCAGCAGUGGGGAAUAUUGGUCAAUGGGCGAAAGCCUGAUCCAGCAAUGCCGCGUGAGUGAUGAAGGCCUUAGGGUUGUAAAGCUCUUUUACCCGGGAUGAUAAUGACAGUACCGGGAGAAUAAGCUCCGGCUAACUCCGUG
RNAcentral lists this ribosomal RNA (433 nucleotides) under uncultured bacterium. Its description in RNAcentral is "partial 16S ribosomal RNA". It matches the Rfam family "Bacterial small subunit ribosomal RNA", at positions 29 to 507 of the family's 1533-position model. The record is from RNAcentral.